RNAcentral lists this ribosomal RNA (1664 nucleotides) under Klebsiella pneumoniae. Its description in RNAcentral is "bacterial LSU rRNA". It matches the Rfam family "Bacterial large subunit ribosomal RNA", at positions 1282 to 2925 of the family's 2925-position model. The record is from RNAcentral. Lineage: Bacteria; Pseudomonadati; Pseudomonadota; Gammaproteobacteria; Enterobacterales; Enterobacteriaceae.
UCAGAAGUGCGAAUGCUGACAUAAGUAACGAUAAAGCGGGUGAAAAGCCCGCUCGCCGGAAGACCAAGGGUUCCUGUCCAACGUUAAUCGGGGCAGGGUGAGUCGACCCCUAAGGCGAGGCCGAAAGGCGUAGUCGAUGGGAAACAGGUUAAUAUUCCUGUACUUGGUGUUACUGCGAAGGGGGGACGGAGAAGGCUAUGUUAGCCGGGCGACGGUUGUCCCGGUUUAAGCAUGUAGGCUGAUUGUCCAGGCAAAUCCGGAUAAUCAAGGCUGAGGUGUGAUGACGAGGCACUACGGUGCUGAAGUAACAAAUGCCCUGCUUCCAGGAAAAGCCUCUAAGCAUCAGGUAACAUCAAAUCGUACCCCAAACCGACACAGGUGGUCAGGUAGAGAAUACCAAGGCGCUUGAGAGAACUCGGGUGAAGGAACUAGGCAAAAUGGUGCCGUAACUUCGGGAGAAGGCACGCUGGUGUGUAGGUGAAGUCCCUGCGGAUGGAGCUGAGACCAGUCGAAGAUACCAGCUGGCUGCAACUGUUUAUUAAAAACACAGCACUGUGCAAACACGAAAGUGGACGUAUACGGUGUGACGCCUGCCCGGUGCCGGAAGGUUAAUUGAUGGGGUUAUCCGUAAGGAGAAGCUCUUGAUCGAAGCCCCGGUAAACGGCGGCCGUAACUAUAACGGUCCUAAGGUAGCGAAAUUCCUUGUCGGGUAAGUUCCGACCUGCACGAAUGGCGUAAUGAUGGCCAGGCUGUCUCCACCCGAGACUCAGUGAAAUUGAACUCGCUGUGAAGAUGCAGUGUACCCGCGGCAAGACGGAAAGACCCCGUGAACCUUUACUAUAGCUUGACACUGAACAUUGAGCCUUGAUGUGUAGGAUAGGUGGGAGGCUUUGAAGCGUGGACGCCAGUCUGCGUGGAGCCAACCUUGAAAUACCACCCUUUAAUGUUUGAUGUUCUAACGUUGGCCCCUGACCGGGGUUGCGGACAGUGUCUGGUGGGUAGUUUGACUGGGGCGGUCUCCUCCCAAAGCGUAACGGAGGAGCACGAAGGUUAGCUAAUCCUGGUCGGACAUCAGGAGGUUAGUGCAAUGGCAUAAGCUAGCUUGACUGCGAGCGUGACGGCGCGAGCAGGUGCGAAAGCAGGUCAUAGUGAUCCGGUGGUUCUGAAUGGAAGGGCCAUCGCUCAACGGAUAAAAGGUACUCCGGGGAUAACAGGCUGAUACCGCCCAAGAGUUCAUAUCGACGGCGGUGUUUGGCACCUCGAUGUCGGCUCAUCACAUCCUGGGGCUGAAGUAGGUCCCAAGGGUAUGGCUGUUCGCCAUUUAAAGUGGUACGCGAGCUGGGUUUAGAACGUCGUGAGACAGUUCGGUCCCUAUCUGCCGUGGGCGCUGGAGAAUUGAGGGGGGCUGCUCCUAGUACGAGAGGACCGGAGUGGACGCAUCACUGGUGUUCGGGUUGUCAUGCCAAUGGCACUGCCCGGUAGCUAAAUGCGGAAGAGAUAAGUGCUGAAAGCAUCUAAGCACGAAACUUGCCCCGAGAUGAGUUCUCCCUGAGACUUUAAGUCUCCUGAAGGAACGUUAAAGACGAUGACGUUGAUAGGCCGGGUGUGUAAGCGCAGCGAUGCGUUGAGCUAACCGGUACUAAUGAACCGUGAGGCUUAACCUU